UUUGUCGACAUGUCAGGAAAGCGC
This 24-nucleotide microRNA is filed under the name Gossypium raimondii (Peruvian cotton). RNAcentral describes it as "gra-miR8784". The record is from miRBase by way of RNAcentral. Lineage: Eukaryota; Viridiplantae; Streptophyta; Magnoliopsida; Malvales; Malvaceae.